Molecule: ribosomal RNA, 255 nt
Filed under: uncultured bacterium
Lineage: Bacteria
Description: partial 16S ribosomal RNA
Rfam family: Bacterial small subunit ribosomal RNA
Source: RNAcentral
UACAGAGGUCUCAAGCGUUGUUCGGAUUCAUUGGGCGUAAAGGGUGCGUAGGUGGCGUCGUAAGUCAGGUGUGAAAUUUCGGGAGCUUAACUCCGAAACUGCAUUUGAUACUGCGGUGCUUGAGGACUGGAGAGGAGACUGGAAUUUACGGUGUAGCAGUGAAAUGCGUAGAGAUCGUAAGGAAGACCAGUGGCGAAGGCGGGUCGUCUGGACAGUUCCUGACGCUGAGGCACGAAGGCCAGGGGAGCAAACGGG